Long non-coding RNA from Dreissena polymorpha, 1597 nucleotides. RefSeq lists it as uncharacterized. The transcript is spliced from 3 exons. Lineage: Eukaryota; Metazoa; Mollusca; Bivalvia; Myida; Dreissenidae. The record is from RefSeq and is a predicted model, not a curated record.
UACAUUACACUAAAUCAUUGUGUAUCCCUCCGUGGUCCAUUCGAAAGUAGUGCCUAUUUCUAAAGAGUUCCUUUUCUCUUCUUGAAUAUAAGCCAUUUAACAAUGUGAGACAUGUCUUUUGUGGUUAUUUGUAAUAUCCUGUAUGUGUCUGGAGUACUUUGAUGCCUUGGAUUGGAAGCUAACUUAAAAGAUGAACUUUUGAGGGUGUGUUUUCUAUUGUGUGGGGCUUUUGUCGAAAUUAGGAUUCCGAAACACGUUUUUCUACGGUGGGUUCAUUCGACAGCGAUUUACUUUCUUAGAAGUUGCGAGACGGUAUGUUUUUGAUUGCAAUUAUUGGAAGAUGACAGAUCCAUCUUUAAAAUGAUACCAGGUUCGGAAAAAUUGAUACGUCGGAAAGGCAAGAAAAAUGCUGUGAAAGUUGUCAGUUUUAUAAUGGGACCCUAUGGGAAUCGGAAUUAGUGUAAUAUAACCUUUAAAAAGCACAUUUGCUGCAAUGUCAAGGUCACAUGGAUUCGUCUGCAAGCGAGACAAGUAGAAAAUGAAUUUUAAUGAAUGUUUUGAUGAUUUGGGUGAUAAAAUAGAUGAGAGGUGUCAAAAUUUUGGUCCAAAUGGAUGUUUUAGGUGGUUUUGGACUGUUCCGGAUGGGUGGGGGACCUGGUAUGGACAAGUAAGGGUAAUAUUUUCAACAAAUCUUAAAUGUAAAUAUUAUUAUGUCCAUAGAUUGAAGUUUCAGGUGGAGAGCAAGAUGAAAAAUAUGCAAAAUUACAUGCAUGCAACCCAUUUAUGCCAUUUUUCUCUUUGUUUGUAGGCCUGACCGUUUGUCCUUGAGCCGUAGAUGGUCAACAAUCCGCUAGCUGUCUUGCUCUGACUGGUGCACUGGACAUGAUUUCAAUAGUCAGCCAGACCAUGAUUGAGCUUAAGGGUUGUGCUGCGGAUGCAGCCUGUGCAGUUCCGGGAGAAAGUCACUGUCUCGGGCAAUGCGGUCUGGUAUCAGGUCUGGAUGAUCCUUGCCUGACUGCGGGUUUGUGUACACCUCAAUCCGACUCUGUGUCCUGAACAGAGGCCGCAGUGGUGCAGCGCUUGUGGACGAUCCAUCAACAUCCUGAAAGGUCAACACUACACCAAGCUGGGAAAAUUGAUCCUGAUAGUCAUCCCCAGGUAGUGGAAUGAAUGUUCACUGAACUACAGAGGAAUCACACCCAAAUGACUUUCCUGCCACGACAUUAGUGUGGCCACUCGCGUAGGAAUUCCUUAGCAAACAUGCUCUUUUGCAUGGUGACUGUGGACAUUUUUGCAAAACUUACGCUUUCAACACUGGAUUUUAAAGAGAAUACUUAAUAAAAUGUCGCUAACAGGACUUAUUUAUAUGAGAGAGACUAUCUGGAUGCGCAUUAAGUGUCACUUUGUGUCGUAAGCUGUUGAAGGAGCGAUUUGCGCCUUUUUAAGUGUUAAUUUUGGGUAGCCGGCUUGUAUCGGCUUGAAAGCUGAAAAUUAUGCCUCUCAUCAUAAUAGCAUUAAUUUUUGUAAUUACAAUGUGUAUGUUUAGAUUGUAAGUGAAGCUUUUAAUAAUAAUUUUCUUAAAAAACAUGAUUUUAUA